RNAcentral lists this unclassified non-coding RNA (452 nucleotides) under Hevea brasiliensis (rubber tree). The record is from RNAcentral. Lineage: Eukaryota; Viridiplantae; Streptophyta; Magnoliopsida; Malpighiales; Euphorbiaceae.
CAGCCUCCCAAGGCUACAUGAGAGUGAAAAAUCAAUAAUUAGAUUUCAGGUAAGGACAUUUCUCAAUAAUGCAGAUAAGCAUCAACAGGGAUUCUGCUUUCUAGCUGUGCAACAUCUAUGUUGAUGGACUUGUAGCCACAUCUGAAUGAAAUUAAAGAAUAGACAUCAGCUGCACUUGGUCUCAAAGUAAAAAAUGUGUAGUAGUAACUUUCAAAUCACGCACCACCAAUAGCGAUGCUGAAUUGCAUUAAAAAAUGAUCUUCACUGAGAAAAGUGGACUAGAACUUUUUAAAGAUCAAAUAGGUUUACAAUCCCAAAAUCCUAUUCCUUAUAUAGCCAACCACAUCCAACAAUGAGUCAAGUACCCACCAGUUUAUAAUCUAUCAACAUUAAAAAUUCAAAACUGAGAUGGAGGGAAUAAAAAGGAGAGAGAACCCCAGGGGGGAGGGGGG